UCCAGAAAUAACAGGAUCUGCCGGGUCUACAUGGCUCCCUUUUAAAUUAAUUAUCUGCGUUUACACUAUCACCACCAGUGCACCACCACCAACGGCUUCUUAAUCCUUUCUCCACCCCCUCUCUUUCUCUCUCUAAAAUCUUUGACUGCUUUCUCUCUCUAGAAUCAAAAUAAAACCCUAAAAUCUACAAGUAAAAGAAAAACCCACCUCCUUUUAUGGACCAAACACGUAUUCAGUGUUCUUCAAUAACCUUAACUUUAUGAUCUUCACUUUUGCUCCGACAACCUGUUCAUCAUUUUGGAUUUUGCUGUCUUGACUGGUACGUGCUUCAACGUUUAGUCAAAAAGCAAUUGAUCUGAGAGAACCCCUGUCAAGAAAUUUCGAUUUACCUUACCAAAUGAGGUUUCUAAUUGAAUCCUGAAGCCUUACCAAAUUUCAAACCUUGUUUACCUUUUUUGCUCCGAUUUUAUGUUUACUGGGAUGGUUGUUUUGUGGAAGAUAUGGGUACUUGUGAUUCUUCUUGGGGUUUCUCGGGUUCUUGUGAUUUCAC
Molecule: long non-coding RNA, 550 nt
Filed under: Lactuca sativa (garden lettuce)
Lineage: Eukaryota; Viridiplantae; Streptophyta; Magnoliopsida; Asterales; Asteraceae
Description: long non-coding RNA (LSAT_LNC003386)
Source: RNAcentral